AUCGCUGCCAACCUAUCUAUCGCUGCCAAUUUAUCUACCACUGCCAAUCUAUCUAUUGCUGCUAAUCUAUCGCUGCUGCUAAUCUAUCUAUCGCUGCUAAUCUAUCGCCGCUGCCAAUCUAUCCCUCACUGCUAAGCUAUCCCUCGCUGCUAAGCUAUCCCUCGCUGCUAAGCUAUCUCUCACUGCUAAGCUAUCCCUCGCUGCUAAGCUAUCCCUCGCUGCUAAGCUAUCCCUCGCUGCUAAGCUAUCUAUCACUGCCAAUCUAUCUAUCGCUGCUAAUCUAUCGCUGCUAAUCUAUCGCUGCUAAUCUAUCGCUGCUAAUCUAUCGCUGCUAAUCUAUCGCUGCUAAUCUAUCGCUGCUAAUCUAUCGCUGCUAAUCUAUCGCUGCUAAUCUAUCGCUGCCAACCUAUCUACCGCGGCGAAUCUAUCUAUCACUAUCAUUACUAGUUCAAAAUAGAACUAGAGCAUAAAUACACUAAACUUCUUUUGAUAGGUAAUGAUUUUUGAUAACGCUCAUAGCAUUAUAUCAUCUAUAUAGGGUAAAUCAUGGUCCCAUUUGGUCCCAUUUUAACAAAAUGGGACCAAAUGGGACCAGAAUCAGUAAUUUAUAAGAAGAACAUGACCUGGGACUAGAUUUAUAAUAUAAACAGUGUAAAGUGACUAAUUUAAUAAACACUAUAUGGGAUCAGGAC
This 692-nucleotide small RNA is filed under the name Histoplasma ohiense. RNAcentral describes it as "hypothetical lncRNA". Lineage: Eukaryota; Fungi; Ascomycota; Eurotiomycetes; Onygenales; Ajellomycetaceae. The record is from RNAcentral.